Molecule: ribosomal RNA, 253 nt
Filed under: uncultured bacterium
Lineage: Bacteria
Description: partial 16S ribosomal RNA
Rfam family: Bacterial small subunit ribosomal RNA
Source: RNAcentral
UACGAAGGGUGCAAACGUUGCUCGGAAUUAUUGGGCGUAAAGCGCACGUAGGCGGCUUAGCAAGUCGGAAGUGAAAUCCCUCGGCUCAACCAAGGAAGUGCUUUCGAAACUGCUGAGCUUGAGUACUUAAGAGGAUCGCGGAAUUCCCGGUGUAGAGGUGAAAUGCGUAGAUAUCUGGAGGAACACCGGUGGCGAAGGCGGCAUCCUGGACCGGCAUUGACGCUGAGGCGCGAAAGCCAGGGGAGCAAACGGG